Long non-coding RNA from Homo sapiens (human), 407 nucleotides. Ensembl annotates it as LARP4B divergent transcript. Its record names the gene LARP4B-DT. The record is from Ensembl. NCBI's taxonomy places the organism in Eukaryota, Metazoa, Chordata, Mammalia, Primates, Hominidae.
GUUUCCGUGAGGAUGGUGACGACUCCGAACUAUAGCAGCAUACUCUACCUACCCCUGAUCAGUUUAUGGAAGAAAAGGAAACCAAACAAAAUCUAGAUUUAUUACAAGAAGUCCAUGAUGGAGACAGCUCAGGAAUGGAAGAGACUCAAGCCCAAAGAUCAGAAGAACCUCUGUCCUGGAAGUCGGUUCUCUUUCCAAUGGAACAGCCUCUGCAAAGUGUACCACACGAUGAGUUAAUAUAUCUCACUUUUAGAAAGAAAGAUACUGAUAUGCCACUGAUGUGGUUUGGAUGUGCGUCCCUCCACCCCCACCCACAGUCCCAUGCUAGAAGUGUCACUCAUAUUCAGCUUUGAAUCAGUGGGGAACCCAUACAGGAAGAUCAUAAUAAAUAUGGAAAAUUCUGAUAA